Molecule: ribosomal RNA, 740 nt
Filed under: uncultured bacterium
Lineage: Bacteria
Description: bacterial SSU rRNA
Rfam family: Bacterial small subunit ribosomal RNA
Source: RNAcentral
AGAGUUUGAUCAUGGCUCAGAGCGAACGCUGGCGGCAGGCCUAAUACAUGCAAGUCGAGCGCACCUUCGGGUGAGCGGCGGACGGGUGAGUAACGCGUGGGAAUAUGCCCUUUGGUACGGAACAACUGAGGGAAACUUCAGCUAAUACCGUAUGUGCCCUUCGGGGGAAAGAUUUAUCGCCAUUGGAGUAGCCCGCGUUGGAUUAGCUAGUUGGUAGGGUAAAGGCCUACCAAGGCUACGAUCCAUAGCUGGUCUGAGAGGAUGAUCAGCCACACUGGGACUGAGACACGGCCCAGACUCCUACGGGAGGCAGCAGUAGGGAAUCUUGCGCAAUGGGCGAAAGCCUGACGCAGCCAUGCCGCGUGAAUGAUGAAGGUCUUAGGAUUGUAAAAUUCUUUCACCGGGGAAGAUAAUGACGGUACCCGGAGAAGAAGCCCCGGCUAACUUCGUGCCAGCAGCCGCGGUAAUACGAAGGGGGCUAGCGUUGCUCGGAAUUACUGGGCGUAAAGGGCGCGUAGGCGGAUAUUUAAGUUAGAGGUGAAAGCCCAGGGCUCAACCCUGGAAUAGCCUUUAAUACUGGAUAUCUCGAGUUCGGGAGAGGUGAGUGGAACUCCGAGUGUAGAGGUGAAAUUCGUAGAUAUUCGGAAGAACACCAGUGGCGAAGGCGACUCACUGGCCCGAUACUGACGCUGAGGCGCGAAAGCGUGGGGAGCAAACAGGAUUAGAUACCCUAGUAGUCC